RNAcentral lists this ribosomal RNA (202 nucleotides) under uncultured bacterium. RNAcentral's name for it is "partial 16S ribosomal RNA". It matches the Rfam family "Bacterial small subunit ribosomal RNA", at positions 526 to 724 of the family's 1533-position model. The record is from RNAcentral.
CGUAGGUGGCAAGCGCUGUCCGGAUUUACUGGGCGUAAAGGAUGCGUAGCGGACAUUUAAGUCAGAUGUGAAAUACCCGAGCUUAACUUUGGGUGCUGCAAUUUGAAACUGGGUGUCUUAGAGUGCAGGAGAGGUAAGUGGAAAUUCCUAGUGUAGCGGUUGAAAUGCGCGAUAUCGGGAGGAACACCGGUGGCGAAGGCGG